This 498-nucleotide ribosomal RNA is filed under the name uncultured bacterium. Its description in RNAcentral is "partial 16S ribosomal RNA". It matches the Rfam family "Bacterial small subunit ribosomal RNA", at positions 30 to 523 of the family's 1533-position model. The record is from RNAcentral.
AUUGAACGCUGGCGGCAUGCCUUACACAUGCAAGUCGAACGGCAGCACGGGGCAACCUGGUGGCGAGUGGCGAACGGGUGAGUAAUGCAUCGGAACGUACCUUUCAGUGGGGGAUAACGUAGCGAAAGUUACGCUAAUACCGCAUAUUCUGUGAGCAGGAAAGCAGGGGAUCGCAAGAACAUGACCUGAAUGCGUUGCAGAUGUCAGAUUAUGUAGAUGGUGAGGUAAAGGCUCACCAAGGCGACGAUCUGUAGCGGGUCUGAGAGGAUGAUCCGCCACACUGGAACUGAGACACGGUCCAGACUCCUACGGGAGGCAGCAGUGGGGAAUUUUGGACAAUGGGGGCAACCCUGAUCCAGCCAUGCCGCGUGAGUGAAGAAGGCCUUCGGGUUGUAAAGCUCUUUCGGCCGGGAAGAAAUCGCACGGGCUAAUACCCUGUGUGGAUGACGGUACCGGAAUAAGAAGCACCGGCUAACUACGUGCCAGCAGCCGCCGUAA